UACGUAGGGCGCAAGCGUUGUCCGGAAUUAUUGGGCGUAAAGAGCUCGUAGGCGGCCUGUUGCGUCCGCUGUGAAAUCCCGGGGCUCAACCCCGGGCCUGCAGUGGAUACGGGCUGGCUAGAGGCAGGCAGGGGAGAACGGAAUCCCUGGUGUAGCGGUGAAAUGCGCAGAUAUCAGGAGGAACACCGGUGGUGUAAACGGCUCUCUGGACCGUAACUGACGCUGAGACACGAAAGCCAGGGGAGCAAACGGG
RNAcentral lists this ribosomal RNA (253 nucleotides) under uncultured bacterium. RNAcentral's name for it is "partial 16S ribosomal RNA". It matches the Rfam family "Bacterial small subunit ribosomal RNA", at positions 524 to 776 of the family's 1533-position model. The record is from RNAcentral.